AUGCGUUACCAGUAUGGGCGGCCAAUAGAAGCAGCAAGGGGGGAGGAAAUGUGCUUCCUUGGGACUGAUAUAAGAGAAGAGCUGAGGAAAGGCAUCCAAGAGAAACAGGAACAAGAGAACAUGGUUGCGAUGUUCUGGGUUCCGGUGGCUUGCUUCCUUGGGGUUCUCAUCUCAGGUUCUAGGUCCCAGUUAGUGCUAACGCAGCCGUCCUCGGUGGCUGCAUCUCUAGGAUCGACCGUGAAGAUCUCUUGCGCUAUGAACAGUGGCUACAGCAUCAGCAGCGAGCGGGUCAGAUGGUACCAGCAGAAAUCAGACGGUGCCCCUCGGUUUGUAUACCACUAUUACACCAGCAGUGACCAGGGCAGGGGUUCUGGGAUCCCGGAGAGAUUCACUUCCACCCCUGAUACUGCCAACAACCGCUGGAAUUUAGUGAUCGCAGGAGUCCAAGCUGAAGACGAGGAUGAUUAUUACUGCAGCUCAUGGGACUACAAGGCCAGUGGCGGCGGGUUCCACAGUGAUCCAUCCUGAUGGGGAACUGAGACAAAACCCUCUUGCUUGACACAGGGGGUCACGCAUCAGCAGAUGCAUCACGUGAAAUGGCAAAACCCACAAAAGCAUUUGAGAUUCUGUUCCUAUUAUAGUUACAAUGAUUUGUCUUUAUUCAUA
Non-coding RNA from Hemicordylus capensis (graceful crag lizard), 666 nucleotides. NCBI's taxonomy places the organism in Eukaryota, Metazoa, Chordata, Lepidosauria, Squamata, Cordylidae. The record is from the annotation of a RefSeq genome assembly.